GAUUUUCCAACAUUGAGAGGUUUAGCCUCAGCAUAUACAAUUUCACCAAGAUUUGCACUUCUUAGGUGGUGGAUGCUGAGGUGGACCCCAGCCACCCUUUCGAACCCGGACGCCACGUGGGCGCCCAUACUAGCCAGAGAUUCAGCUACUAGAGCCGAGACUCCACCAUGCAACACAUUAAAAGGGUUGCAACAUUUUUUAACCACCAAAAAGUAACCGAAAAUUUUCUGAGGAGAAAUCUCUGAAAUUUUAAAACCGAUAACAUCGAGUGGUGCAUCUAAAAUCUCUUUCAUUGGAAUUGAUUUUGUUAAUUGCUCCAUUUUUUUCCUUUUUUCUUAUCUUUUUUUUUUUUACUUCCUUUGAUUUUCUCUGGAAUUCUUGGAAAUGAUGUUGGGAAAUUGGAACCAAAAAAUGAAUUUAUAUAGAAUUUUUUUUUUCGGUUUGGAUUUGUUUUCUACUUUUAAAAAAAGAGAUAAAAAAAGAUUUGUCUGAGUCAACUUUUUUUUUUUUUUUUUUUUUCUGAGUCAACUUAUGUGUAUAUCUUAUUAUGUUUUUAUAUGAAGAAAUGGAUAAAGAUGAAAUAAAAGGAUAAAAAUACAUAUUAUUUUUUUACUAGUCAACUUUAGCAAAUUAAAAAAUAAUAAUUUUAAUUUAUCUUUUUUAUUAUGGAAAAUUUUUUCAAAAUGUCAAUAUUUUAACAUUUAAGAGAGCUCAUUAGCAAUACUUUUAAUAUUUAGUAAAAGUGUCAAAUUUUAAUUUGUUAUGUAUCUUAUUUAUGUUUUAUUAUUUAUUUUUAUUUAAAGAAUAUAAUUAUUUAAUAACAAAAGGGAGAAAAUCAAGGGAGAGAAUAUUUCAAAAAAAAAUAAAAUAUAUAUAUAUAUAUAUAUAUAUACACACACACACACAUACAAUCCUCGAGUUGAAUACUAUGAUUUGAAUGGAACAAACAUAAUGUGCAUCGAAAGUUUGUCAUUUUACGCUUAUCGAAAGUUAAUUUGAUUAAUUUUUAAAAAUUAAUUAGAUCACAUUAAUUCGAUAUUUUAAACAAAAAAAUUAGAUAUUCUAAAAGUACAUGAAAAGUACUAUAAAUUACAAUUUUUUGCAUGUUAAUAUGAUGAAAAAAUACAUCUUGAAAUGUUAGUCAAAAUUUUUAUAAUUUGACUUUAAAAUUGGAAACCAUAACAAACAAUUUCGGAUGAAGAGAAUAGUUUGUUAAUGAAUUUUGUUACAUAUAUAGUUUUGCGUGUUUUUUUUUUUUUUUGCAUAAUUAAUUUCGAAUUUUUAAACCAAAUAUAGGGAUUCAAGAAAGUGUCAUCCAAAAAGUGCGAAUUCUCACAUAAGUUCAAGAAGGGAAAUAAAGUGAUAAUGCAUAAAUACUCCCAUAAUUUAUGUUUGAAAUUUCAUAGACACACUUAUACUAUACUAAAGUUUUAUUACCUCCAUAAACUUAUUUUAAUAAUAAUUUUUGAUCACUUUUCAGCCUACGUGACACUAUCUUGUAAGAUCAACACUGAUUGACUUCUUUUUUCAAUGUAAUGCCACGUAGAUCGAAAAGGGGUAGAAAAUUACUUAUAAAAUAAGUUCAGGGAGGUAAUGGGACAUUAGUAUAGUAUAAGUGUGUUUCUAAAAUUUCGAACAUGAGUUGAGGAGUAUUUGUGGAUUUUCCUGAAAAUAAACAUUUACUUGCAAAAAUAGCCAUAAAAAAGUGACCAAAGUGUUUUUCCUUUAUAUUUAAACUUUAAAGUCAUGUUCUCAUGAAGAAAGCCCAAAUGUGGCUACAAUUGAAAGACAACAGUUGCUUUAGAAUGUGUGUGUGUGGGGGGGGGGGGGGGGGGACUACAAUUGCAAAUGCAAAUUGCUCAUAAAAUUGUUGAAUUGCCUUUCUAAGUAUGUAGGCAAUCAACAAAAAUAAAAUUAAAAGAUGACUUUUGUUUAGCCAACAAAAAUAAAGUUAAAUUUUUUUUUUGUUGAAAUAAGUAAAUUGCUUUAUUUUUAGACAACUAAUUUUCUUUUCAUAUUCAUAAAGUCUAAGAUUAACUGAAAUGGUAUUAUAUGUGUUGUUCAACAAAUAAGGUUAAUAUUGAUUUCCCUUAUCAACAUCUCUUAAUCGAAUUAGAUGCACCAAACUUAACUUACGUAUAACAAGGUUUACAUCUUCUAUUCGAUUUGCGAGCUAUUUGAUAUAUAAAAUUCAUAUCUCAUGUAAAACAAUUUUUUUAUAUAUAUAAUUUAUGAUCUUUAAGAUAAAGUAAGAAAUUGUAUUAAAUUUUAUAUCGAUCAGAUAAUUAGAUAAUUUAAAAUAAUCAAACAAACACUAAAAGUUUCUAAUUCACAACUAGCAAAGCUUACUUGACUCAACUCACUUGAUUGAAUUCGACUUGACUAGAUGAAUUCAAACUUAAACUUUAUUACAAACUCAAUUGACUCAAACUUUAUUGCAAGCUUAACUGAAUUUGAUUCCACUCUAUCAAAUCAACAUAAACUCUAUAACAAGAUCGAUUGAACUUAAUUCGUUAUCGAGACCUAAUUAUAACUUGGCAUGCUUCUUUAUAUUCAUAGCAGCUUCUUUGACAUUUUUUGGUAGAGGCAUGUUUGUCUUGAUAGUAACUCUUGAUGAAGAAAUCAAAAUUCUUUCCCCUAAAAUUAAGGAAUUAUUUUUCCACAAAUUCACUUCCCAAACAUGAAUUGAUUUUCCAACAUUGAGAGGUUUAGCCUCAGCAUAUACAAUUUCACCAAUAUUUGCACUUCUUAGGUGGUGGAUGCUGAGGUGGACCCCAGCCACCCUAUCAAAUCCGGACGCCACGUAGGCGCCUAUGCUAGCCAGAGACUCGGCUGUUAGAGCCGAGACUCCACCAUGCAACACCUCAAAAGGGUUGCAACAUUUUUCAGUCACUGAAAAGUAACCGAAAAUUUUAUGAGGGGAAACCUCUGUAAUUUUAAAAUCGAUAACAUCAAGUGGUGCAUCUAAAAGAUCUUUGAUUGGAAUUGAUUUUGCUGAUGGCUCCAUUUUUUAUUUUUUUUUGUUUCCUUUGAUUUAUUUUCUCUUGGAUUCUUGGAAAUGAUGUUGAGG
RNAcentral lists this long non-coding RNA (3070 nucleotides) under Solanum lycopersicum (tomato). Its description in RNAcentral is "long non-coding RNA (SLYC_LNC001257)". The record is from RNAcentral. Lineage: Eukaryota; Viridiplantae; Streptophyta; Magnoliopsida; Solanales; Solanaceae.